UGUGAAUUUUAGCCAUUGUGUGCGAUCACAACAUGGAAGGACAUGUGUGUGCAUGGAUUCUAAGUAUGUUGGCUCAAGAAAGGGAAACAUAGAGUUGGACAAGAGUUUACUCAUACAGAAAUAUCAUUCCUCCUUCCAGGUCCAUAGGUCUUGAGAAAAGAAUCAUCUACAUGGCACAGUAGGCCUCUGCAGGAUGUGUCUUGGAAUCUUGGAGUGACUGCACACUAAAUGACGUGAGAAGGCUAGAACUGCCACAGCAGGUGAUAGAAGAGGAACUGAUAGGCUCGGAGAAGUGGACAUGCUUAGGAUGGCUAGGAAAGUCCUGACUGGAGACACACUGUGGAAGAGCCUGGAAGGAACACUGAUCUCACAAGCGGCAAGAGAUGUCCGGGUGUGGAUCCCAGGCAGCAGAGACACAAAGGACAGCAGGGAGACCAGUGCCUUUCCAUUUGGAUUGUGACUACACACAGGAAGUGGCCAGAAUGACUGCAGGCCAUGGAAUAAAAGCUCAUGAAAAGACCCACCGCUCUGAGAAGGCUGGCCCUUGGCAGGGGUGGAAGGCUGCUUUUGUCCGUGAGGACCGUGCAAGACUCCAGCGGAACAUCCAGUGAUAUCAUCUUGGCUGUGAUGCAGAUUUUCUCUAUUGCUGAUAGAGAUGCAACUGGCAAACGGUGUAUUUAAAAGGGACCACUGAAAAUGUUCUGAAAUAUGCGUACACCUGGGAAACUAUUACCAUAAUCAAGAUUUGAAAAUUACCUAUCAGCCGCCCCCAAAGCCUCCUGGUGCUCCUUUAUACCCCUUCUUCUGCCCUCCCUCAGGCACAUAUAUACGAAUAUGCUUUCAGUCACUGUACGUUUGCUUCCACUUCCUAAGACUGAACGUGAAUGGAAUCAUACAGGAUGUAUGUCUGUUGUUGUAGUGUCUAUAGCAUUAUAUCCCAUUUGAAUAAUAAAGUAAUAUGUAGUAGCAAGUGGGCUUUUAAACCCUAGCUAUCUUCUACAGGGAGACCAAACUGGCUUUUGCUUUUUUUGUUUUCUGCUUGAUGUCUUUCCUCCCUAGUAGCUCUCUGACUCUGAUGUAGUGAGACUAAACUACUUGGGCUGGUGUCACUGAACAAAAUAAUCAGCCUGAAGGACUCUGAACAUUACACAGUUUCAGCUUUCAAAGUAGUCAUGAUUAUUAAACAUAAUCUUGAACAUAACCAAAGUUAGAAAUGCAGAGACACUUGUGGUUAAAGUCAGCAACUUGGAAUCUUUCAUCACUGAGAAUAAAGUUGAGAGAAGGAACAUAAAAUGUCUAGGCUCUCUAGGUCAAAAGUUGUCAUUAGCUCAUUCAUGGGACAUUUUCUUUCCCAUGUUCAUCUUGGCUCUCCCUCCAUCUCACGUCAGAGAUGGUAUAAUUUGUAGGGUCAGGCAGAUAACAACCACUGAGAAAAUUUUACUGAAAUAAAUUUUAUGUUCCAGUUAUCAUUUGAUGCACAGAAAAAAAAAAUCCUCUAUUUAAUGACACCGGCAACCAUUUUACUGUGCUCCCAGUUCCUGUAGUCAGGAGUUCCGACAUGUACCAGAGAUGACUUCAGACACGUGUCCAAGGCUUCAGCUGGAAACACCUGAAACUCGGCCAGCUGGGAGUUGGAAUCAUCUGGAAGUUUUUUACUCCCAUGGAAUGACUUAAAGACUGCAGUUUUCAAAUGCAGACUCGCAUGAUUACAGAUAACGAUUAUGAAUUGCAAAAAAAGUAGCUGAAAGAGUUGUGGAUGUUUUCACCAUAAAGAAAUGAUGUUUGAGUAAAUAGCCUUACCCUGAUUUGAGCAAUAUACAAUUUAUCUAUGUAGUGAAACAUCACAAGAUAACCUGUAACUAUGCACAAUUUUUCUAUAUCAAUAAAAAUGCUUUAAAAAGAAAAAAAGGACUUGACUCUGCAGAGCUUUGUGCCUGCUCAUGGGCUCUGUGUGUGCUAUAGGCUUCUCACAGCCUGGAAACUUGGCACCAAGAAGGUGCAUUCAAGAGGAAUCAUCAGAGCAAGUGAUCCAGGAGAGCCAGGUGGGAGGGCAUCCUUCUUCUGACCAUGUUCUGAGGCCAGCCAACUUCAUAGGGGCAGUUACACCUCAAUUCUAACGAGGAACAGGACAGUCAUGAAGACAUGGUGAGGAAGAACACGUAAGGUACAAUAUGCACUAAUUCAGUAGCCCUAUCAGAACAUCAGGGGUUUGGAAAAUAAGAAAGAGAUUUAUUUCUCUUACUUCUGGGGCUUCAAGACCAAUUCUGGUUCUGAGAGGUUGAGGUAGGGGGAGAUAGAGUUCAAAGUAAAAAGAAGUACAGAGAGAGAGAGAGAAACUGUUCACUUUCUUUUUAAAAUAAGGACAUUAAAGCUAUCAGAUCAGAGCCCACUCUUAUAACCAAAGUUAACCUUAAUUAUUUCCUUAGAAGGCCCCACUCCAAAUAAAGCAAUACCAGAAAUUUGGAUUCCAAUAUAUGAAUUCAGUCCAGUGAGGGACUGUAUAAACCUCCGUCCCUAACAGUUGUUGAUUCUGUCUCUGAAAAUACAGUCUGUUCCAGAGUGAACCGAGCAGGGGAGGAAAGGCCCAAGUUCCAAUAUGUAGCAUUGUCUUUGAAUGACAAAAAGGACAAGAAAGAUAGAGCAAUAAAGGAUAAUUUAUAGGAGGAAAAAAAUCAGCAUGGCUUGGUGGUAGAAAAACAAAAAUAAAAACAAAGAAAAUUUCUAAAUUAGAAGCCAAGUAUUCCACUGGAUUCUUUACUUGUUAAUUGUGAGACAUUCUGCAAUUGUUUGACCGAAUUUUUUCACCAAAAUCAAAAAAAGGUGCCAGAGCAACCAGCAAGAGCCUGUGUCCAAAAUCAUAUGCUUUUAUGGCUUCUUUCAUGAUUCAUAUUUUUUUCUCUAAUUAUCUGCUUCUUCUCAUUCUUUCUGUUAUAAAGAUUAUCCUUUUUUUUUUUUUCUUUUGGAAACACUGAAUAUCUCUAUGUCUUGGACAAUGGUGGUUUGAAAAAUAAAAUUGAAAACAUUUUGAGUCUAUACAUGCAGCACCCUUUAUUUUAGAUAGUUGAUAGCAUCUUACUCUGGAUUCUUGGUGAUAGAGUUUGUAGGGAAGAGCAUGCUUUAUGUUUUUUUUUUGGAGGGGGUGAAUGAAAGGAAAAAAAUCACUAAUCUCUGCUGGUUUAAAUCAUCUCUCACUAAUAAAUGGAAGAAAAACUUUGAACUUUUGCACUGAGUCUACUCUUUGUUUCUCUCCAAGCGUCCUAUCACCUAUCUUGUCAAGAGCCACGAGAAAGCUCUACAGCCCAGAGGGUGACUUCUACAGGCUGGGAGCUCCUGAGCACCCCUGGAGCUUGACCUAUGCAGAAUAUAGCUAGCCCCUGAGUACCUGUGGAUCAGCCCACUAAUGGAUGCCACAGAGGGCCCCACUGGUCAAGAGCGUGAGCCUUGGGAAACAACUCUUUUCUGAAACACAAGCUUCUUACCUUCUCUGACCCACAGGUUCUCCCCGCGUUCUGAUCCCCACUUGAGGCUAGAAGAAGGUGAAGCCAAACUUUUGCCAGGAAACCAGUGAAAUGAAUGAACAAGACUCCGUCAAGGAAAUCCAAGAGAAGCUUUACUGUGUCUUAUUUCUACAGGGAAACUUACUCUGAACCUGUUUUUUCUCCACGUAGCUAUCGGUUAAUAUCUCAGGUAGGUUCUGUGGUGUGGGACACCUUUUUGUUAUAGGCAUAGUCUCGUCUCAGUAACUGUACUGGUCAGUCCAGUGUAAUGAUUAAACUUCAGAUAUGCUCAUAUUUUAAAAUUGUCCCGUUUGCCAUCCCAAGCAUGUUUCAGUACCAGAAUGCAGUAAGGGAAUUGGGAAAAGUAUGGGUGUGCCCCUUUUCUCUACCUUCUGCCAGUCAGCCUCAAAGUCAAGUGGAAGUACAAUUUGCUGUAAAAGUUGCCAUCUUUGUCUUUUCAUGAGGGAAGGCAGCCUCAGUCACCAUCUCUAAUCAGUGUUUUGUUUUUUUUUUCAAAUAAGUCUCAGGAAACAGAUCUAACUCUCCAGGCCCAAGAUAUAGAUACAUGCUCACCUCUCUCAGUGGCCUCCCAAACCCAUUCGCAGGGGAAAGAUGACUGAGUGACCUGUUCAUCCUCAUUAAUGAUGGACAGCAGCACAAUGUCAGCUCUCUGAAGAAUUCCUCUUUCCUCUGCCAUUCCUGGUGAUAGGUGGGUGAGAUAGGCCAGUUCUGUCUCUUUUGCUUUCACAAACUCUUGGCAGGCCCCAUACAGCUGGUUCAGCUUCUUGCUUUAGUAUUUAGCUCAUGUUACCAUGUUCUGAUACAGUUUCACUAGGCACAAGUGACUAAUCCCAACUAUGAAUGCACAGUGAUUUUAAAAUUAUGUGAUUUUGAAGAGUUUGUGGAAAAAGUUUUUUUUUAAAAAAAAAAUCUCAUCAGUACAUAUUGCUUAUAUACUGAAAUAAUACUUCGGAAAUGCUGGGCUAAAGAAAAUACAAACAGUCCCCCUAUUAUGGCUUAUGAUAGUCAAGGAGCAUGUGUACUCUAUUACAGUUAAUUUAACCUGUUUCUUGCUAUAAUUUUUUUAAAUACGUCUACUAGAAAAUUUGAGUCUACCUGUGUUACUUCUAUAUACUUCUGUUUGGGGGUGAAGCUCCAAGCCAGACACAGCUAGUGUUCUGUUUUAAAAGGAAGAUCUGUCACACAAAGACCACGAAGAGUCAAGGGACUAGCUCAGCUCAUUGAGAGAUUCAUCAGUAAUUCCUACACUAGUUUCUGGGCUGGAAGCUGGAUGACACAGCACCCAGUGCAAUAUGAUGGCUUGGAUAUCAAAUGUUCUCCCCAAGGUUUUGUCCCCAACUAAUACCUUUGUAGAAAAUACUUGGAUCCUUGGCUCUGCCCUGCCCCUCCUCUCUCUCCCCCUUCUCUUUCUUCCUCCCCUGCCC
This is a long non-coding RNA of Fukomys damarensis (Damara mole-rat), 4942 nucleotides long. NCBI's taxonomy places the organism in Eukaryota, Metazoa, Chordata, Mammalia, Rodentia, Bathyergidae. The record is from Ensembl.